UUUUGGUUUGGCAUUUGUUGUUGUUCGCCAACUCCCAAAUACAAAUACAAAGGAAAAAAUAUAGCCAUCUUCAAGGGUUUGGCAUUUUUGACUUGGCAAUUAGCUAAAGUGGACCCGACCAAAUCAUUUCGCACUUCUUUCUGUCGCGCGCGUGAGUUGGUUCGCGCCUAUUCUCCUUCGCGCGUAUGGAGGCGCCGCCGCUCGCAGGUAUGUGUACGUCGCCGCCGGUUGUGCCC
Molecule: long non-coding RNA, 236 nt
Filed under: Sorghum bicolor (sorghum)
Lineage: Eukaryota; Viridiplantae; Streptophyta; Magnoliopsida; Poales; Poaceae
Description: long non-coding RNA (SBIC_LNC007599)
Source: RNAcentral